GAGCUUGACUGCGAGACCUACAAGUCGAGCAGGGUCGAAAGACGGACUUAGUGAUCCGGUGGUUCCGCAUGGAAGGGCCAUCGCUCAACGGAUAAAAGCUACCCCGGGGAUAACAGGCUUAUCUCCCCCAAGAGUUCACAUCGACGGGGAGGUUUGGCACCUCGAUGUCGGCUCAUCGCAUCCUGGGGCUGUAGUCGGUCCCAAGGGUUGGGCUGUUCGCCCAUUAAAGCGGUACGCGAGCUGGGUUCAGAACGUCGUGAGACAGUUCGGUCCCUAUCCGUCGUGGGCGUAGGAAAUUUGAGAGGAGCUGUCCUUAGUACGAGAGGACCGGGAUGGACAUACCUCUGGUGUACCAGUUGUCGUGCCAACGGCAUAGCUGGGUAGCUAUGUGUGGACGGGAUAAGUGCUGAAAGCAUCUAAGCAUGAAGCCCCCCUCAAGAUGAGAUUUCCCAACUUCGGUUAUAAGAUCCCU
RNAcentral lists this ribosomal RNA (472 nucleotides) under Staphylococcus aureus. RNAcentral describes it as "partial 23S ribosomal RNA". It matches the Rfam family "Bacterial large subunit ribosomal RNA", at positions 2365 to 2838 of the family's 2925-position model. The record is from RNAcentral. Lineage: Bacteria; Bacillati; Bacillota; Bacilli; Caryophanales; Staphylococcaceae.